RNAcentral lists this ribosomal RNA (393 nucleotides) under uncultured bacterium. RNAcentral's name for it is "partial 16S ribosomal RNA". It matches the Rfam family "Bacterial small subunit ribosomal RNA", at positions 523 to 918 of the family's 1533-position model. The record is from RNAcentral.
AUACGGAGGAUCCAAGCGUUAUCCGGAUUUAUUGGGUUUAAAGGGUGCGCAGGCGGAAGAUUAAGUCUGCGGUGAAAUUUUGCAGCUCAACUGUAAAAGUGCCAUCGAUACUGGUUUUCUUGAGUGUGGAUGAAGUAGGCGGAAUUUGUGGUGUAGCGGUGAAAUGCAUAGAUAUCACGAGGAACUCCGAUUGCGCAGGCAGCUUACUAGGCCAUAACUGACGCUCAGGCACGAAGGCGUGGGGAUCAAACAGGAUUAGAUACCCUGGUAGUCCACGCAGUAAACGAUGAUUACUCGCUGUUUGCGAUACACAGUAAGCGGCUUAGCGAAAGCGUUAAGUAAUCCACCUGGGGAGUACGUUCGCAAGAAUGAAACUUAAAGGAAUUGGCGGGG